UUUUUGUCCAUUUACAUAAUUAAGUAGUUCAGAGAUAAAUUGGGUUUUAGAUCCCAGGGUAAAGCUGGAGUUAGCUCUCCCCCGUGGCAACCCCCUAGCACCUCCACGUUCUUGUCUUGUGGUAGAAGACUUGGAUCCUGACAUCACCAGCUUCCAUGUUCCACUGCAGGUAGCAAGCUUUGCUAUGACUGGGCGAACUUAAAUCAUGUGUCCAUCCCUGAACCAAUCCUAACAGGCAGAAGGAAAGGAUACUUUGGUUAGUUUAGGCUACUAGGAGCCUGCCACUAGAGUCAGGGGCAAGGUCAAUCCUACCCAGUCUACAUGAAUGACUAUAGUGGAGAGGUGGCACCUGGAUUUGCCUGGCACUAAGAGCCAAUAUGGAACCACAGCGAAGGCAAGGAUGCAGAAGACACAAGAAGAAGGAAGAGGACAAAUAAAAGGAGAAGAAGAAAGGAAGGACCAACAGGUAACACCUACUGCACUUACAAAGUGCCAGACACUGGUCUAAACUGUUCAUCUUUAUUAACUCAUUUAGUAUUCAUAAGGCGGU
This 550-nucleotide long non-coding RNA is filed under the name Mustela putorius furo (domestic ferret). Its description in RNAcentral is "lncRNA (ENSMPUG00000029530.1)". Lineage: Eukaryota; Metazoa; Chordata; Mammalia; Carnivora; Mustelidae. The record is from RNAcentral.